Molecule: ribosomal RNA, 235 nt
Filed under: uncultured Actinomycetales bacterium
Lineage: Bacteria; Bacillati; Actinomycetota; Actinomycetes; Actinomycetales
Description: partial 16S ribosomal RNA
Rfam family: Bacterial small subunit ribosomal RNA
Source: RNAcentral
UGGCGAACGGGUGAGUAACACGUAGGUGAUCUGCCUUGCACUCUGGGAUAAGCUUGGGAAACUGGGUCUAAUACCGGAUAGGAACCGUCUUUAGUGUGGUGGUUGGAAAGUUUUUUCGGUGUAGGAUGAGCUCGCGGCCUAUCAGCUUGUUGGUGGGGUAAUGGCCUACCAAGGCGGCGACGUGUAGCCGGCCUGAGAGGGUGGACGGCCACAUUGGGACUGAGAUACUGCCCAG